AUUUUAUGCUGGGAUUUCACUCCCCCAAGUCCCCUGACUUGUCCCUGGAGGGGCCUGUGCGCUGGGGGAAUUCACAGCCUGGCUUUCGUGCUCCAUUUGAAAUGAUUUCUGCUCACAUGAGGAACUUCUCUGAGACCGGCAGCUCCUGGAGACCAGUGUGUCCCUUCUCAGUGAAUGAGUGAACCCAACCAUAAAUAAGGAAACUGAAGACCAGGAAGGCUCUUGUGAUUUCCACUAACAGACCCCUCCGCAGGUCAGAGUCCGAGCAGGGAUGACCUUACCAGGAUCUCACAGUUCCAGAGCCGACACUAGAAGCCAGGACCACAGCCCCCACCCCAGCAGCCCCUUUUCCUGCCACCCCCUGUACCGUCACUCACCCUGGCA
Herpailurus yagouaroundi (jaguarundi) is the source of this 384-nucleotide long non-coding RNA. RefSeq lists it as uncharacterized. The record is from RefSeq and is a predicted model, not a curated record. Lineage: Eukaryota; Metazoa; Chordata; Mammalia; Carnivora; Felidae. The transcript is spliced from 3 exons.